RNAcentral lists this ribosomal RNA (1440 nucleotides) under uncultured organism. RNAcentral describes it as "16S ribosomal RNA". It matches the Rfam family "Bacterial small subunit ribosomal RNA". The record is from RNAcentral.
GCUUAACACAUGCAAGUCGAGGGGCAGCAUUUUAGUUUGCUUGCAAACUGAAGAUGGCGACCGGCGCACGGGUGAGUAACACGUAUCCAACCUGCCGAUAACUCCGGGAUAGCCUUUCGAAAGAAAGAUUAAUACCGGAUAGCAUACGAAUAUCGCAUGAUAUUUUUAUUAAAGAAUUUCGGUUAUCGAUGGGGAUGCGUUCCAUUAGUUUGUUGGCGGGGUAACGGCCCACCAAGACUACGAUGGAUAGGGGUUCUGAGAGGAAGGUCCCCCACAUUGGAACUGAGACACGGUCCAAACUCCUACGGGAGGCAGCAGUGAGGAAUAUUGGUCAAUGGGCGCGAGCCUGAACCAGCCAAGUAGCGUGAAGGAUGAAGGCUCUAUGGGUCGUAAACUUCUUUUAUAUGGGAAUAAAGUUUUCCACGUGUGGAAUUUUGUAUGUACCAUAUGAAUAAGGAUCGGCUAACUCCGUGCCAGCAGCCGCGGUAAUACGGAGGAUCCGAGCGUUAUCCGGAUUUAUUGGGUUUAAAGGGAGCGUAGGUGGAUUGUUAAGUCAGUUGUGAAAGUUUGCGGCUCAACCGUAAAAUUGCAGUUGAAACUGGCAGUCUUGAGUACAGUAGAGGUGGGCGGAAUUCGUGGUGUAGCGGUGAAAUGCUUAGAUAUCACGAAGAACUCCGAUUGCGAAGGCAGCUCACUAGACUGUCACUGACACUGAUGCUCGAAAGUGUGGGUAUCAAACAGGAUUAGAUACCCUGGUAGUCCACACAGUAAACGAUGAAUACUCGCUGUUUGCGAUAUACAGUAAGCGGCCAAGCGAAAGCAUUAAGUAUUCCACCUGGGGAGUACGCCGGCAACGGUGAAACUCAAAGGAAUUGACGGGGGCCCGCACAAGCGGAGGAACAUGUGGUUUAAUUCGAUGAUACGCGAGGAACCUUACCCGGGCUUAAAUUGCAACAGAAUAUAUUGGAAACAGUAUAGCCGUAAGGCUGUUGUGAAGGUGCUGCAUGGUUGUCGUCAGCUCGUGCCGUGAGGUGUCGGCUUAAGUGCCAUAACGAGCGCAACCCUUAUCUUUAGUUACUAACAGGUCAUGCUGAGGACUCUAGAGAGACUGCCGUCGUAAGAUGUGAGGAAGGUGGGGAUGACGUCAAAUCAGCACGGCCCUUACGUCCGGGGCUACACACGUGUUACAAUGGGGGGUACAGAAGGCGGCUACCUGGUGACAGGAUGCUAAUCCCAAAAACCUCUCUCAGUUCGGAUCGAAGUCUGCAACCCGACUUCGUGAAGCUGGAUUCGCUAGUAAUCGCGCAUCAGCCAUGGCGCGGUGAAUACGUUCCCGGGCCUUGUACACACCGCCCGUCAAGCCAUGAAAGCCGGGGGUACCUGAAGUACGUAACCGCAAGGAGCGUCCUAGGGUAAAACUGGUAAUUGGGGCUAAGUCGU